GACGAACGCUGGCGGCGUGCCUAAUACAUGCAAGUCGAGCGAAGUGGCGGAUGGGUGAUUAACGCGUGGGUAACCUGCCCUUAAGCCGGGGAUACCAUUUGGAAACAGAUGCUAAUACCGGAUAAUACAGGUUGGACCUGCGAUGCAUUAGCUAGUUGGUAAGGUAACGGCUUACCAAGGCGAUGAUGCAUAGCCGAGUUGAGAGACUGAUCGGCCACAUUGGGACUGAGACACGGCCCAAACUCCUACGGGAGGCAGCAGUAGGGAAUCGUCCACAAUGGACGAAAGUCUGAUGGAGCAACGCCGCGUGAGUGAAGAAGGUUUUCGGAUUGUAAAGCUCUGUUGUUGGGGAAGCGGUAAUCAACCAGAAAGUCACGGCUAACUACGUGCCAGCAGCCGCGGUAAUAC
Molecule: ribosomal RNA, 408 nt
Filed under: uncultured bacterium
Lineage: Bacteria
Description: partial 16S ribosomal RNA
Rfam family: Bacterial small subunit ribosomal RNA
Source: RNAcentral